GACGAACGCUGGCGGCGUGCUUAACACAUGCAAGUCGAACGGAAAGGCCUGCUUUCCCUUGUGGAUUGCGGGUACUCGAGUGGCGAACGGGUGAGUAACACGUGAGUGAUCUGCCCCCAACUUGGGCAUAAGCCUGGGAAACUGGGUCUAAUUCCCGAUAGGACUGCAGGGUGGUGCCUGUGGUGGAAAACGAUUUUCUAGUGGUUGGGGAUGAGCUCGCGGCCUAUCAGCUUGUUGGUGGGGUAAUGGCCUACCAAGGCGGCGACGGGUAGCCGGCCUGAGAGGGUGGACGGCCACAUUGGGACUGAGAGACGGCCCAGACUCCUACGGGAGGCAGCAGUGGGGAAUAUUGCACAAUGGGCGGAAGCCUGAUGCAGCGACGCCGCGUGGGGGAUGACGGCCUUCGGGUUGUAAACUCCUUUCGACCGCGAGGAAGCCACCUGGUUGGAAGGGUGGUGACGGUAGUGGUAGAAGAAGCACCGGCUAACUACGUG
Molecule: ribosomal RNA, 494 nt
Filed under: uncultured bacterium
Lineage: Bacteria
Description: partial 16S ribosomal RNA
Rfam family: Bacterial small subunit ribosomal RNA
Source: RNAcentral